GAGAAAAAAUAGAGGCUGGUGAGGGAAUGUAUAUUUAUAGCUGCUAUAAUGUAAAUGAGAACAGAAAUGAACUUAUUUUGAAGACAUUCCACAACUUUAAAAGCAACCAGAAAUGGAUAAAAAUGCACUGAACUGAGCUUCUUUAAUGAAAAAAACAUACAGUGUUGGCAAAUUGCUAUGGUAUAGCUUGUUGGAUGGAUAGACACAGCUGUAGAUUAUUUACAUGGAUGGAUGCAUGGAUGCGCACAACAAUAAGCAAACAUUUUUACAGAUGGAUAUAUGCUAAUAAAGAUGGAUGGAUGAAUGGAAGGAUGGGUAGAUCUUUUUAAACCCAAAUGUAUUUUCAUAAAGAUGGAUGGAUUACCGGGUGGGCGGAUGGACCUGAGGAUUGGUAGAAUGGGUAGAGUUUUUUAUAUACAAAUGGAAGGGUGGCUGGACAAGGAUGUGUAGAAAGGUAGAUUAUUUCUAGACGGAUGGAUGGACAUAAGGAUCAAUAGAUUUUUAUGAAUGGAUGGAUGAAUGGCAACACGGAUGGGUAAAAUGGCUAGAUUUUUUAUAUAGAUGCAUGGAUUUUAAGUAAAUAUAAUAUGGAUGGAUGGAUAGUUGAAAGGAUGUAGAAACCUAGAUUAGUUCUAGAUGGAUGGAUGGAUGGAUGGAUGACGGACGAUCUAGGACAAUGGAAGGAUCCAGAAGGUUGUGCGUUUGUAAGCUAUCUAUAUGAAUAAGGCUGCAGGGGCGAGAGGGAAGAUCUUCAGCACUCACGCUGUGCCGCAUGUUUAUGCGGAUGCGUUCGGUAAACCGAUCGAUGCCGAGCGAUUCUGGCAAGCGCUGCUUCAGCAGAAAAACGGAUGAGGAAACGAGGGGAAUUAUUCGAUUUUAAGCAAUUGACAGUUUCGCCCGGCCCUUCUCUCCAUUUUCAAUUUCUCUCUUCUCUCAACGUACCGCUCAGACUCCGGUUUUAUUCGGUUAGGCGUACCGUCUUACCCCAAAUCAUCUGACUUGGUUAUAUGGAGAUUUUUUAUUUUUUUUUCAUCACUGCAGCGUCCUGGGCUUCAUGCACUUCAGUUUUCACUCUAAAGAUAAAACCUGGGCCCUGUUUCAGUAUUCACCCCUAUUGACCUCCUUUCUCGAUUUCUCCUUCAACGCUCAGUAAGGCAGUGUUUCCACUGAGCACGAGUGAAGUGUCUUAGAUGAGCACUUCGAGCAUUUUCACACUUGACCUGAAUACUUGAGUCCCUACCCAGGACUCGGUUAUGGUCUUGUUUGGGGAAGGGUUUCAUAAUCGUGGGUUUGUAUGCAAAUUGAAGAAUGAACCGUGGAACGAUUGCACAACUCCACAAGUCAUUUUGUGGAUAAUGCGAGACACUGGGUUCAUCCAUUCUUCAUUUUUUCACCACUCUGGUGAAGAGCAGUGCGUUUUCGACGCAUGGCAUGUCAGUGUAGGAAAUACUUGCAAACAAGGGGCCAUUCUCUUGUAUGCAGACCGGACACGACGUGCGUUAUUCGUAAUGCUGUCAGUACAUGAACAUCAGAGUGCGAGCUUCGGUUCUGUGGGUUUAUAUAUCAAUAAGGUGUUUUGUGUCCUCUUCUGGCCAUAGCAACUCUUGCCCUGCCGUCAGGAAACUUGAAGCAGGAAGUAAUGUGACAAUUUGAACCAAUCACGUUACCCAGCGUGAAGUGCUGAGAGGGAAUAGCUUACACGCAUCAUGUGAACUGCAUUGCGGUAUGGUGGAAGCGAGCCCCAUGACAAUCAUUUUCCAGAGGACCAGGGACAAUUUCUCUAGACAUACCAAAAGCAUACAGAACUCUUGGCACAAACUGGCCCAUGUAUGGAAAAAAAAAAAACCUCGAAAGAAAAACAAAAAAACGCAGGUAUGAAAAUGACCCGAGGGAGGAGCAGAAUUUACCUGGCUUUUGUUUUUUAAACAGCAAGUAACAGCUCUUUGUCAGUCUGAGCAAAUGCUGAACGCUUGAAAUACAGCGUAAAAGCACACGGCGACAAAUCUUGAUUUCAAAUGUCAUGCAAAUUUGAUCGAAUCAGUGCAGUGUGACCGGGUUUUGCUCAAUUGUAUGCACAUUAAGAGUACACUGACAUAUACAGUGAUGUUACUGCUGCACGUCUCCAGUCGCUGUACUAUGAAGCCACCAGUAGGCGUUCCUACUACUGGUUGCCAUAGUAACAUUCAUCAACGGGUGGCGCAACCAGGGUUGGGGGGGUUACGCCCAACCCUGUAAUCAGUAACGCAAUCCAAGCAUCACGAGAUGAAAGUAAUGUAAGGUGAUUAUUUUCGGAUUGCUUUAUGUAAAUAAAGUCAAGAGAAAAGCAAUAUGAUGGAUAAAAAGAAAUGAUACUUUCAUUUAGAGCUUAAAAACAGGUUCAGUGUUGAAUUUGUGUUAAUUAAUUAAAUAAAAGAUCACUGUCCCUGAUGCGGGUAACAUUACGUCACUAAAGCUAGAGUGACCAUAUUCUGGUUUUCCAAAAAGACUUAAUAGAACAGUGUUACUAUGAAUGCAGACUUUAAUACGCUGAAACAGACACACGAUUAGCAUCACAUAAAUAUAUGUAAAUAAUGUAUUAUUUUGAAUGUAAUAUUUUAUCCUACAUUCUUUUGAAUGUCCAUGGAAUAAAAUAAAGUCUCAGAUGCCACGAGUGAACCUCCUGCCGUCGUUUACACAUUUAAAUGGCCAUGUACUACGAAGCAAUGUGAUGACAUGAAAUGAAAUAUGACCUUAUAUGGUCGUGGGCGUCGUUUCGACUCAGGACAGCUUCAUCUGCUGCUAUGAUGACUCCGUACACAACAGCGCUUCACCUUCACGCGUUCGCUGAGAGAAGGCUAACGGUUGAGAGGCAGGAAUUUGGACAGUAGUUGCUGCAAGCCUUUUAUAAUCGACCAAUCGGUGUGCGAGAAGGCGGGACUUACAGAGAGGGGUUCAAGCAAUGCGAUUAUGCACACACAUGAUGCAGCAUUAGACCAUAAGCACAUCAUAAUGAAAUUAAAGCCCGGACGUUUUCUCAAAUUUAGACGCUUUUUUAAGGUCUGAAAUAGAGGACGUAUGAUCACCUUAACACGUGAGCCACGUUGCUCACGUGAGUCACGACUGGCAAGAGAGACCCAGAGCGAUAAUCUAUCAGCUGUGUAUAUCGUGUUCUGUCAGAUGAUUCAUUUCUUAGGUUUUAACGGAAAGAAAUUGUAAUCCUGAGAGUAUUCCCAUUUGUUCUAACUGUAGCUGUAAUCUGAUUACUUUGUUUUGUGACGUAACUGUAACGGAUUACAGCGACCGGUUUUCUGUAUCCCGAUUACGUAACGCCGUUACUGUACUCCGUUACUCCACGAGCCUGCUUACCUAGUACUUCCUAUUGUAAGAUUGCAGUACAUCAAAUUUAUGAUUAUUAAACCUAUUUCUAGGUUUUUUUUCUUUGUUGCUCAUUUCUAGCUCGAUCUACUGUAUUCUUUGCUGGGAUUUGUUGGUGAAAGUGGAUGAAGUGGACGCCUGGUGUUUGUCAGAUGGUGUUGCUUACACACUUGAAGACCAAACCCCUGUGCCACUGCUCAUUACUGACCAAUUCAUCCACCAUGUGUGUCCCACUACUGUACAGCCACCGUACCAUGUGCCAAAGCUCCGUAUGUGAGCAAACCCGUGGGAAAAUAAUUCGGCAAGUGUGUCAUCUACACACACACACACACACACACACACCCACACACACACACAGUGAGUGUCAGGUGGCAAGAUAAACCUCACUAAUCAAUCCAACCAUUUACCCAGCCAAUAUAAAUGUGUGUGUGUGUGUGUGUGUGUGUGUGUGUGUGUGUGUGUGUGUGUGUCACUGUGUGUGUGUGUCACUGUGUGUAUGUGUUUGUGUGAGCAUGUAAAACAUCCUCCCCAUUCAUUUAAACACAAGCACAGAACACACAGGAACUCCCUAAAAGUUUGAGCAAUAUGAAUUGCCAUAUACUAGUGUAGACAUACACACACACACACACACACACACACACACACACACACACACACACACACACAUGCUGCUGUACUUCACACCUCAGCCCACACGAGUCACCCUGGCAUGUGGGAGAACUUUUCAGACACAGCUCUUAAUUAGACAGAAAACAGAGGUCAUAAAGAGCCACAACACACACACACACACACACACACACACACACACACACACACACACACACACUUCUCCAAAGUCAUUCAAAGUUUCCUGUGAAAAUAAAGAUAGAAUGAGAAAAUUACCAACAAAAAAAUGGCAUACUGCCUGAAUCCCAGACUUUAAAGUUCAUUAUGUUUCGCCUCAGAAUUAAAACGGCGCGUCCGCCUACGUGUACAUAUUUAUGCCCUCUGCGGCUCAGACUUUCAUUUGCCAAACAGAUUACAGAAAUCCUCGGUGAUUUCCCGAUGCCGAAAUCAAAUGAUCAAACAAAUCCAGGCUUAUUAAAUCUGAGCUGCGCUUAAAUCCGUAUUUCCUCUUCCUGUUAGCGUUGACUGUCAUCUCAAAUCUCACAUCUCAUACCUACUGUGUGUGUGUGUGUGUGUGUAUAUGUGUGUGUGUGUAUGUGUAGCUGAGAUUCAUGCCGUCGGGUCCCCGGGGUUUAAAUUUGAUCCCCUGUGAAUUGAAAAGCUCUGUCUGGAAGCAUUUUGAAGGCAUUUUGGUAUUGAAUGUGAUUUAUAAUGAUUUAUAAUGGCUGUGCUAUAAAACCUCAUUCACACUGGCUGGUAUGUUGCUUUUUCAGGAAGGAAAAAAAAAAAAAAAAGAAGUAAUAACCGUGACUUGAACCGUGUCUUUGCGUCUUGCUAUUGUAACACCAUGGCGCUAGAACCGCCUUUUUGAAAUCAAUUGCGCUCUAAUUUUUUCACGCCCAGCGUCACUUUGAAUCAUUCCUGCAAGACGUGUUUUCACCUUAUGGGCAUGCUGGUACAGGAAAAUCAAUACCGACUGUUACAGUGCAAAGUGUUGACACUGGAGACUCCUUCCAUUCCACUCCUUCCUGCGUAUUCUUCAGUCUCUCCGGGAUUCCGCGAUCGCAGAAACGGACGCGAAAUCAAGCAAACUCCGGGAAAUGUUUCAAAGUUACCACGGAUUUUUACCACAAGACACGUCGUGUGACGUCAUCACGACGGACGUUCAGCCAAAGCCCUCUUCGAACAUGAGUAUAGCUAAAAAGGUCUCAUUUUCCAGCAGACAUCACUACGAAGGAGCGUGCGAUUGGAGAAACAGUCGUGUAAAGUUUUAGUCUGAGGUUUAUAUUUGUAACACUCGGUUUGUGGAUUUUAUUUCAAACAAACGAAAGAAAAUGGUACUGAAAGUUUCACACACACACCCCCCCCCCCCAAAUCUGAUUAAUCGAUUGAUCGUAAAAAGAACGAAAGAAAGAAAAAAAUGGCCCAACUAAUCGAUUGCGAAAAUAAUCGUUAUUUGCAGCCCUCGUGUCCUGUCAGUGGCUAAAUGAUGCUACGCGCUGACCUAGCCUGCAAUAACUAAACGUAUAUACCGUAGAUAUCUCAUAGUAACUGACCGUUUAUACUAGAAACAAACUGAAGUCGCUUGAGGCUUACGACUUCUGUCUGUGGGCGUGUUCUAGACGUAACGUUUUACGAUUACAACAUCGAGGACGUCGACAUCAAGGACUGAAUAAAAGUUUGCUAGCUAAACGUAUCCAUUAUAGGCAACUCCUAAGUAAGAAUCUGACCUAGAUAUCUAGCGUUAUCUUGCUAGUUUCUACUUAGGCUUAUUAAAGCAAUACUAUAAAUUUGGUGUGUUAGUUAAAUAGUAGGGGCUUAGUGGUUAGCACAUUCGCCUCACACCUCCGGGGUCAGUUGUUCGAUUCCCACCGUGGCCCUGUGUGUGUGGAGUUCGCAUGUUCUCCCAGUGCUGCGGGGGUUUCCUCCGGGUACUCCGGUUUCCUCCCCCAGUCCAAAGACAUGCAUGGUAGGCUGAUUGGUGUGUCUAAAGUGUCCGUAGUGUAUGAAUGGGUGUGUGAGUGUGUAAGUGAUUGUGCCCUGUGAUGGAUUGGCACCCUGUCCAGGGUGUACCCCGCCUUGUGCCCGAUGCUCCCUGGGAUAGGCUCCAGGUUCCCCGUGACCCUGAAAAGGAUAAGCGGUAUAGAAGAUGGAUGGAUGGAUGGCUAAAUAGUGAGAGCAAGUGCCAUCGCUCAGGAUGCUGACCAGAACUACGACUACGCCUCCAACAGCGUCAUCCUGCACCUGGACCCUGGAGAUGAGGUCUACAUCAAACUGGACGGAGGCAAAGCCCACGGCGGCAACAACAACAAAUACAGCACUUUCUCCGGUUUCAUCCUCUACGCUGACUGAACUGCAGAGCUCGAGGAGAAGAGGAAGAAGACGAGACGGAGAAAGAAAGAAGGCGUUAUCAUCCAAGUGCUUUGUUUUCAAUUCGCAGGAUCAUCCUGUCGCUUCUACCAUCUUUUUUCUUUUCUUUUUUUUUUGGCUUUGUUUGAUUGCAAACUCUAGUAAGAGACUCUCAGUGGACAGAGGGUGUUCUUUCUGCUCUAUGAAUCACCUUAAUGACAAAAAGCGUGAGGAAAAAUGAGUGAAAAAAAGAGAGCUUUUCUUUUCUUCUUUCUUCCUUUGAGACUUCCUGCAGGACUUUCAAGUGGCAGAGAUCUUUUGUCUCAUUGUCGCGUACGUCUCCCCAUCAAAUCUCAUCUUCUGUCCACAGAUAUUUAUCUUCAAGAUACGAGAAUGAUCCAAAAUGUCUGUCCCUCAUGGAGAAAAAGAAAAUUAAAUAUUUUUUUUGAAGGCUUGCUUUAUUGACUAAGGGAUCGUUUGAGAUUGAGUUCAGCCUAGUUAAAAUCCUAUUUCAGAUGAUUGAAAAUGCUUGUGCACAAUGAAAAUUUGUGCCGUCCUUAGCACUUUUUGUUCUUUACCUCCGGGCCCUGUAUAACUGAAGAGUGGUGGUUGUUGUUUCUUCAGCGUGUCGUGCUGUGUCUGGUGCAGAUGUGACUCGUGGCAGUCCAUGAAGGACCUUUCGGAAAACACAAAGGACACUUUCUCUAAAUGUCGUUAAUCCUCCUUUAGUCAGUUCUUUUAUUCUCAUCCAGCAGUUAGCCGAGUUCUCCUCUCUUCCAAGACUCCAGGCCCGUAUGUUUCAAGUAUCAUUCUCCCUUUGAAAUUCCCACCAUGUUUAUCUAGUCCAAAAAACGACACAGUUUAAACCAGGGGUUCUCAAACUUCUUACCCCUUUAACUGUUUUCUUGUUGUUGUUGUUGUUUAAAUCACGAUCUCAAUUAGUACUUUUAAUUUACAAGCAAACUCUUUAAAAAUGAGGUAAAUUAGGUUGGAUAAUAUUUUCGCUGUUAAUCGGAGACAGAAAUUUCCACCCAUAGAACCAGAUUUCAAAUGCCGUUAGAUCAGGCUUGCGCGAUAUGACGAUUUAAUCAUCCCGACACGAUCGUAUGCACGAUAUCCAUCGACGUUUACUCUAGUCGAGGUCAUACGUUCACAUACGCCUUGUAGAAUCUAUAAAAUGUUAAUAACUGUUUUUAUAAAGUAAGAUGGAGGAUAAAAAUUGCAUUUCGUUUUUUUUUUUUUAGUCCCGCCCACAUAACGGAUGUUUACAUCUAGUCCACAAGACGCAAUGAUAACUGAAUUACACAUGUACCAGUUUACGCACGCUCGGUUCUUAAUCCCGUGCGUCGUCACCUGGAUGAUCCACGACGUGUUUAUGUUUUGUGAGAGUCCUUCACGAGUCCCUUGUUUGUCCUGAGCAGUUAAACUGCCCCACUGUUCUUCAGAAAAAUCCUCCAGGUCCUGCACAUUCUUUACUUUUCCAGCAUCUUCUGCAUGUUCGAACCCUUUCUAACAGUGUGGGAGGAGGGGGGGGGGGGUAAACUUUUGAACAAGAUAAAAAUGGAAAUAAGCCACUUAGAUGACACCAUGUGUAAGCCCCGCCUCCUUCCUCCUAAUCUCCACAUGCUCUCUAUUGGACUCUUGCUUUCUGUCAGCAUAAAUGUUUUGAGUUCGUUAUUACGCAAUCAAAUCUGUCACUGUAUGUUCACAUGACCUAAAAUUGCCUUCUAACUAAUUAGAUAAUUAAUUAGAGAUACCAGUGGAAAAUUGGUUUUCAGGCUUUCGGGGUUUGGUUUUUUUUGUUUGUUUGUUUGUUUUUGCUUAAAGAGAAAAAAGGAUGAUAAAAAAGAUUAAAUAGGCUUACACCAAAGUGGCCGAAAUUAACAUUAAGAC
Molecule: long non-coding RNA, 8202 nt
Organism: Ictalurus punctatus (channel catfish)
Lineage: Eukaryota; Metazoa; Chordata; Actinopteri; Siluriformes; Ictaluridae
Source: Ensembl